UGCUUCUUGAACUUAAAUAAAAAGUAAUUCCUGCCCAGUGAAGUUUUAACGGCCGCGGUAUCCUAACCGUGCAAAGGUAGCAUAAUAAUUUGCCCAUUAAUUGUGGGCUAGCAUGAAUGGAGUAAUGAAAUAAGGACUGUCUCAACAUAUAACAUUUAAACUAUUAUUAAAGUGAAGAAACUUUAAUUAAAUUAAAGGACAAGAAGACCCUAUAGAGCUUUAUCUAACUAAAUAUUUCAUAUUUAUAGGAUUCGGUUGGGGCGACCAGGGAAAAAUCAUCCCGUAGAAUUAAGAUUAAUAUAUCACUAUUAUGAUCCUAUAUUAGAUCAAAAGAACAAGCUACCUUAGGGAUAACAGGCUAAUCCUAUUUAUGAGUUCAUAUCGACAAUAGGGAUUGGCACCUCGAUGUUGGCUUAGAAUAUCUAUGUGGCGCAGAUGUCACAGAAAGAAGGUUUGUUCAACCUAUAAUUUUCU
Molecule: ribosomal RNA, 474 nt
Filed under: Marionina sp. CE34647
Lineage: Eukaryota; Metazoa; Annelida; Clitellata; Enchytraeida; Enchytraeidae
Also listed under: 1 other name
Description: partial large subunit ribosomal RNA
Rfam family: Bacterial large subunit ribosomal RNA
Source: RNAcentral